GACGAACGCUGGCGGCGUGCUUAACACAUGCAAGUCGAACGAUGAAGCCGGAGCUUGCUCUGGUGAAUUAGUGGCGAACGGGUGAGUAACACGUGAGUAACCUGCCCUUGACUCUGGGAUAACUGCUAGAAAUGGUAGCUAAUACCGGAUGCGACCCUCGGAGGCAUCUCCAGGGGGUGGAAAGAAUUUCGGUCAAGGAUGGACUCGCGGCCUAUCAGCUAGUUGGUGAGGUAACGGCUCACCAAGGCGACGACGGGUAGCCGGCCGGAGAGGGUGGCCGGCCACACUGGGACUGAGACACGGCCCAGACUCCUACGGGAGGCAGCAGUGGGGAAUAUUGCACAAUGGGCGCAAGCCUGAUGCAGCAACGCCGCGUGAGGGAUGACGGCCUUCGGGUUGUAAACCUCUUUUAGUAGGGAAGAAGCGAAAGUGACGGUACCUGCAGAAAAAGCACCGGCUAACUACGUGCCAGCCGCCGCUGUAA
This 484-nucleotide ribosomal RNA is filed under the name uncultured bacterium. RNAcentral's name for it is "partial 16S ribosomal RNA". It matches the Rfam family "Bacterial small subunit ribosomal RNA", at positions 28 to 523 of the family's 1533-position model. The record is from RNAcentral.